Molecule: non-coding RNA, 27 nt
Filed under: Mus musculus (house mouse)
Lineage: Eukaryota; Metazoa; Chordata; Mammalia; Rodentia; Muridae
Source: RNAcentral
UAAAAGAUAUGCUGACUGUAGAGUGAG